Molecule: ribosomal RNA, 506 nt
Filed under: Sporolactobacillus sp. THM7-4
Lineage: Bacteria; Bacillati; Bacillota; Bacilli; Caryophanales; Sporolactobacillaceae
Description: partial 23S ribosomal RNA
Rfam family: Bacterial large subunit ribosomal RNA
Source: RNAcentral
UAAAACAGUCAGGAUGUUGGCUUAGAAGCAGCCAUCAUUUAAAGAAAGCGUAAUAGCUCACUGAUCGAGUCGUCCUGCGCGGAAGAUGUAACGGGGCUAAGCCAGUCACCGAAGCUGCGGAUAUCCUUUAUUGGAUAUGGUAGGAGAGCGUUCUGUAAGCCUGCGAAGGUGUCUUGUAAAGGAUGCUGGAGGUAUCAGAAGUGCGAAUGCUGACAUGAGUAGCGAUAAUGGGGGUGAAAAGCCUCCACGCCGUAAGCCCAAGGUUUCCUGUUCAACGUUCAUCGGAGCAGGGUGAGUCGGCCCCUAAGGCGAGGCAGAGAUGCGUAGCUGAUGGGAAGCAGGUUAAUAUUCCUGCACCGUCGUAUGAUGCGAUGGGGGGACGGAUCGCGGAAGGUUGUCCAACUGUUGGAAUAGUUGGUUUUUGGCUCAUAGAAGGCGCUUAGGCAAAUCCGGGCGCGGAAUUCAAGGGGUUGAGACGAGUGCACUUGUGCAUGAAGCAAUCGGAA